ACACAUGCAAGUCGAGCGAGGGUUUGCUCAGUAUUGAGUAUUCUAAGACUAGAAUGUUCAAUUCUGAGCAAAACCAAGCGGCGGACGGGUGAGUAACGCGUGGGUAACCUGCCCUAUACACAUGGAUAACAUAGUGAAAAGUUUACUAAUACAUGAUAAUAUAUAUUUGCGGCAUCGCAGAUAUAUCAAAGUGUUAGCGGUAUAGGAUGGACCCGCGUCUGAUUAGCUAGUUGGUGAGAUAACUGCCCACCAAGGCGACGAUCAGUAGCCGACCUGAGAGGGUGAUCGGCCACAUUGGAACUGAGGCACGGUCCAAACUCCUACGGGAGGCAGCAGUGGGGAAUAUUGCACAAUGGGCGAAAGCCUGAUGCAGCAACGCCGCGUGAACGAUGAAGGUCUUCGGAUCGUAAAGUUCUGUUGCAGGGGAAGAUAAUGACGGUACCCUGUGAGGAAGCCCCGGCUAACUACGUGCCAGCAGCCGCGGUAAUACGUAGGGGGCUAGCGUUAUCCGGAUUUACUGGGCGUAAAGGGUGCGUAGGUGGUCCUUCAAGUCGGUGGUUAAAGGCUACGGCUCAACCGUAGUAAGCCGCCGAAACUGGAGGACUUGAGUGCAGGAGAGGAAAGUGGAAUUCCCAGUGUAGCGGUGAAAUGCGUAGAUAUUGGGAGGAACACCAGUAGCGAAGGCGGCUUUCUGGACUGCAACUGACACUGAGGCACGAAAGCGUGGGUAGCAAACAGGAUUAGAUACCCUGGUAGUCCACGCUGUAAACGAUGAGUACUAGGUGUCGGGGGUUACCCCCCUCGGUGCCGCAGCUAACGCAUUAAGUACUCCGCCUGGGGAGUACGCACGCAAGUGUGAAACUCAAAGGAAUUGACGGGGACCCGCA
This 887-nucleotide ribosomal RNA is filed under the name uncultured bacterium. RNAcentral's name for it is "bacterial SSU rRNA". It matches the Rfam family "Bacterial small subunit ribosomal RNA", at positions 51 to 925 of the family's 1533-position model. The record is from RNAcentral.